RNAcentral lists this unclassified non-coding RNA (220 nucleotides) under fungal sp. RNAcentral's name for it is "partial internal transcribed spacer region". The stretch from base 1 to 46 matches the Rfam family "Eukaryotic small subunit ribosomal RNA", at positions 1786 to 1831 of the family's 1831-position model. The record is from RNAcentral. Lineage: Eukaryota; Fungi.
AAGUCGUAACAAGGUUUCCGUAGGUGAACCUGCGGAAGGAUCAUUACAAAUCAGGUUUACCCAGCCAAAUAAACAGCUGGCUGGGUAAACACAUUGGCACAGGGCAGCACUGCACUGCAAGGUGGUGGUGCAGCCUUGAUGUUUACGCUUGGUUGUUUGACAGAGUAAGUGAAGUGAAGCUAAAUAUAGACAACUUUUAACAAUGGAUCUCUUGGCUCUU